AGUGAACGCUGGCGGUAGGCCUAACACAUGCAAGUCGAACGGCAGCACAGUAAGAGCUUGCUCUUACGGGUGGCGAGUGGCGGACGGGUGAGGAAUACAUCGGAAUCUACUUUUUCGUGGGGGAUAACGUAGGGAAACUUACGCUAAUACCGCAUACGACCUACGGGUGAAAGCAGGGGAUCUUCGGACCUUGCGCGAUUGAAUGAGCCGAUGUCGGAUUAGCUAGUUGGCGGGGUAAAGGCCCACCAAGGCGACGAUCCGUAGCUGGUCUGAGAGGAUGGUCAGCCACAUUGGAACGGAGACACGGUCCAGACUCCUACGGGAGGCAGCAGUGGGGAAUAUUGGACAAUGGGCGCAAGCCUGAUCCAGCCAUACCGCGUGGGUGAAGAAGGCCUUCGGGUUGUAAAGCCCUUUUGUUGGGAAAGAAAAGCAGCAGGUUAAUACCCCGCUGUUCUGACGGUACCCAAAGAAUAAGCACCGGCUAACUUCGUG
This 492-nucleotide ribosomal RNA is filed under the name uncultured bacterium. Its description in RNAcentral is "partial 16S ribosomal RNA". It matches the Rfam family "Bacterial small subunit ribosomal RNA", at positions 29 to 507 of the family's 1533-position model. The record is from RNAcentral.